RNAcentral lists this ribosomal RNA (675 nucleotides) under Debaryomyces hansenii. Its description in RNAcentral is "eukaryotic LSU rRNA". The stretch from base 139 to 675 matches the Rfam family "Eukaryotic large subunit ribosomal RNA", at positions 1 to 543 of the family's 3401-position model. The record is from RNAcentral. Lineage: Eukaryota; Fungi; Ascomycota; Pichiomycetes; Serinales; Debaryomycetaceae.
CUUGAAAUGUAUUGGCAUGAGUGGUACUGGAUAGUGCUAUAUGACUUUCAAUGUAUUAGGUUUAUCCAACUCGUUGAAUAGUUUAAUGGUAUAUUUCUCGGUAUUCUAGGCUCGGCCUUACAAUAUAACAAACAAGUUUGACCUCAAAUCAGGUAGGAUUACCCGCUGAACUUAAGCAUAUCAAUAAGCGGAGGAAAAGAAACCAACAGGGAUUGCCUUAGUAACGGCGAGUGAAGCGGCAAAAGCUCAAAUUUGAAAUCUGGCACCUUCGGUGUCCGAGUUGUAAUUUGAAGAAGGUAACUUUGGAGUUGGCUCUUGUCUAUGUUCCUUGGAACAGGACGUCACAGAGGGUGAGAAUCCCGUGCGAUGAGAUGCCCAAUUCUAUGUAAAGUGCUUUCGAAGAGUCGAGUUGUUUGGGAAUGCAGCUCUAAGUGGGUGGUAAAUUCCAUCUAAAGCUAAAUAUUGGCGAGAGACCGAUAGCGAACAAGUACAGUGAUGGAAAGAUGAAAAGAACUUUGAAAAGAGAGUGAAAAAGUACGUGAAAUUGUUGAAAGGGAAGGGCUUGAGAUCAGACUUGGUAUUUUGCGAUCCUUUCCUUCUUGGUUGGGUUCCUCGCAGCUUACUGGGCCAGCAUCGGUUUGGAUGGUAGGAUAAUGACUAAGGAAUGUGGCUCUA